CCUACGGGAGGCAGCAGUGAGGAAUAUUGGUCAAUGGACGGAAGGCUGAACCAGCCAAGCCGCGUGAAGGACGAAGGUGCCAAGAGUUGUAAACUUCUUUUGUCAAGGGACAAAAUCAGGCUCGAGAGCCUGACCGAAGGUACUUGAAGAAAAAGCAUCGGCUAACUCCGUGCCAGCAGCCGCGGUAAUACGGGGGAUGCGAGCGUUAUCCGGAUUUAUUGGGUUUAAAGGGUGCGUAGGCGGGCGGUUAAGUCAGCGGUAAAAGCCCGGGGCUCAACCCCGGCUAGCCGUUGAAACUGGUUGUCUUGAGAUUUCGAGAGGUAUGCGGAAUG
RNAcentral lists this ribosomal RNA (332 nucleotides) under uncultured bacterium. RNAcentral's name for it is "partial 16S ribosomal RNA". It matches the Rfam family "Bacterial small subunit ribosomal RNA", at positions 338 to 668 of the family's 1533-position model. The record is from RNAcentral.